UAUCUAGGCGCAACUAUAUGCUGAUUCAAAGACUUCUGAGUGGAUAUCACGGGAGUAUCAUGCAAAUAUCACUACUCUAAGAUAGUCUGCUAUAUUCUGCAUACUGAUAUCUUAUCUAUCUGAGUGC
Molecule: ribosomal RNA, 127 nt
Filed under: Picrorhiza kurrooa
Lineage: Eukaryota; Viridiplantae; Streptophyta; Magnoliopsida; Lamiales; Plantaginaceae
Description: 5.8S ribosomal RNA
Source: RNAcentral